This 406-nucleotide ribosomal RNA is filed under the name uncultured bacterium. RNAcentral describes it as "partial 16S ribosomal RNA". It matches the Rfam family "Bacterial small subunit ribosomal RNA", at positions 30 to 526 of the family's 1533-position model. The record is from RNAcentral.
AUUGAACGCUGGCGGCAGGCCUAACACAUGCAAGUCGAGCAAGAGGCGGACGGGUGAGUAAUGUCUGGGAAAAUGCCUGAUGGAGGGGGAUAACUACUGGAAACGGUAGCUAAUACCGCAUACCAUCGGAUGUGCCCAGAUGGGAUUAGCUAGUAGGUGGGGAAAAGGCUCACCUAGGCGACGAUCCCUAGCUGGUCUGAGAGGAUGACCAGCCAAUCUGGAACUGAGACACGGUCCAGACUCCUACGUGAGGCAGCAGUGGGGAAUAUUGCACAAUGGGCGCAAGCCUGAUGCAGCAAUGCCGCGUGUAUGAAGAAGGCCUUCGGGUUGUAAAGUACUUUCAGCGGGGAGGCGUUACCCGCAGAAGAAGCACCGGCUAACUCCGUGCCAGCCGCCGCGGUAAUAC